RNAcentral lists this ribosomal RNA (708 nucleotides) under Pseudoxanthomonas jiangsuensis. RNAcentral describes it as "bacterial SSU rRNA". It matches the Rfam family "Bacterial small subunit ribosomal RNA", at positions 65 to 765 of the family's 1533-position model. The record is from RNAcentral. Lineage: Bacteria; Pseudomonadati; Pseudomonadota; Gammaproteobacteria; Lysobacterales; Lysobacteraceae.
GGCAGCACAGAGGAGCUUGCUCCUUGGGUGGCGAGUGGCGGACGGGUGAGGAAUACAUCGGAAUCUACUUUUUCGUGGGGGAUAACGUAGGGAAACUUACGCUAAUACCGCAUACGACCUACGGGUGAAAGCAGGGGACCUUCGGGCCUUGCGCGAUUGAAUGAACCGAUGUCGGAUUAGCUAGUUGGCGGGGUAAAGGCCCACCAAGGCGACGAUCCGUAGCUGGUCUGAAAGGAUGAUCAGCCACACUGGAACUGAGACACGGUCCACACUCCUACGGGAGGCAGCAGUGGGGAAUAUUGGACAAUGGGCGCAAGCCUGAUCCAGCCAUACCGCGUGGGUGAAGAAGGCCUUCGGGUUGUAAAGCCCUUUUGUUGGGAAAGAAAUCCAGCCGGCUAAUACCUGGUUGGGAUGACGGUACCCAAAGAAUAACCACCGGCUAACUUCGUGCCACCAGCCGCGGUAAUACGAAGGGUGCAAGCGUUACUCGUAAUUACUGGGCGUAAAGCGUGCGUAGGUGGUUGUUUAAGUCUGUUGUGAAAGCCCUGGGCUCAGCCUGGGAACUGCAGUGGAAACUGGACAACUAGAGUGUGGUAGAGGGUAACGGAAUUCCCGGUGUAUCAGUGAAAUGCGUAUAGAUCGGGAGGAACAUCCAUGGCGAAGGCACCUACCUGGACCAACACUGACACUGAGGCACGAAAGCGUGGG